CCCCAAAGCUUCCAGUACACUUCACUGUUGCGGGUGGGCUGGUUCAGGGCGGGUCUUCGAUUUUGACGAUGUGUCUGGUGCAAUAGGCUUUAGUUAAAAGAACAGCUAGAUAGACAUGUGUUCGAGCGGAAGAACAAGUGGUAUAACCUAACGGGAGAGUAAUGGCGUAGUUGCAGCCCUCACGGGCCGGGCGAGAAGAACACCCUGGCCCGUGAGGAGCGACUAUCUUGUACAGAGGAACCGAACAAACAUGUCCCUGUGGUCCAGCAACACCGUUGUGCAUGUAAUUGUAGCGAACCCUAUUGCCUUGUUUUUCACUUCACGGGGGAACAAUUUGACCAUUUCAUAAAUACCACGGCCAACAUUCACACAUUGAAGAGGCUCAAAUGCAUCCCAAAGCCCAUCACCAAUUUUGUGCUACCCUUAGAAGGAUGUCUCGUUUCAUUCUUGACAAAGGAUGCUUACUUAAGAGGACUAAUAGACAUGCAAGGUCUGCAGUGAUCAAGUUGUAGAUGAAACAGCCAAGGUCAAAUGCUGGGCUCGGGAGAAAUGGUGGUAAUCACUGCAGAGAUCACAUUUCCAUAAAACCAAAUAUGCCCAUCCAGCUGCCCCACCUUGUUGAAAAUGUAGCUUCUAGAAGUCUAUACAUUUAAUUGUAGCACCAGUGGCGGUUUUAUGGUGGCAGAUUGGGAUUAAGAAAUUAUGUUCUGAUGACUGUCUUGAAUUUAAAUUAUUAUUUUUAUUUUAUUCCUCACAUAUCAAAGGAUGUUUUUCUGGCAUGUGAUGUUGAAUCACACUUCAGUCGUACUUCCAGUACAUUUCUGUCAAUAAUCUUCUUUUUUUUUUUUUUUUUUUUACUUAAAAUGUGGCAAAGGAAUAAGUAGUUAAUGGACGUCAAACAAGAAGUAAUUCACUACCUCACUGACAAUAUGUAUAUAUAUAUAGUGACAAUUGUAAUCUAUUAAGCCCCAUCCUUCCUGAAGUUCAAGUUUGCAUUAUAGAAAAGACAGCAUGUUCUUCUUCGAGUGUGAAGGAAGAAGACAUGCUUAUUACUUUUAGGGAAUGAUAGACAAUCCUAGAAACAUGGCAUGCAUUUUAAAUCUGAUCUCUGAUCUCUGAUCUCUGACCCCAUUCAUUCAUUCAGCUAAAACAUUCAGUGUGGCUAUAUCGUUUUCCAUCUCAUGCAUGCAUCCAUAUCAGAAAGGUAUUCUGGCCAAGAUGGUAUUUUGUUCAUUUGUUCAUAGAGGUAUACUAUCCAUAUUGCAUUUUGUUUUGUAGCAUGAUUCUGUUUGACUCCAAAUGCCCUGAAUUGGUGAUUGUAAGGUUAAGGUAAAAUAGAGGCUUGUUGAGUAUGUGUACCAGUACAUGCUGUACGUGUUUGCAAUGAUUUUGAGAAAGAACUAGGUCCAAGGUUCAUAUGGUCAACCCUGGAUAUGGGAUUUGUGCAAUAUAUUUCCCCUCCCUUUCCCUUACACCUGUAAUGGUUUUGAUAUAAAUAUGUAUAUUGUAAACAAGUGAGAAGUUGUUCAAAUAACAACAAAAUCACCAAUGUCUUCCAUUAAGAAAUGUAUAGUCCCAUAUGCUUAUGUAGCAAGCUUUUAGUGCCAACAUUAUACAUGGCCAUGCAUGAGAGGUAGUGAUGCUUGCUGAGUAACAUAGUUCUAGUAAUAUACUUAUAUAUUUUAAGGUGUAUACAGUAUAGACAGAACAAACUUUAGUUACCAACUGGGAUGUAGCAUCCUUUCCAACAUUAGUCUGAGAUUGCGCCGAAAGUGGGGACUCCCCAUUUCUUUGUUUUUCCAUCUCAAACCACAUAGACGGGCCUGUCUGAAGAGUUGUGUGUUGUAGGCAGGAGGGAGUAGUGGCUUUGACACUGAAGGCAUAAAGACACCACACGUUUGACCUGGCCAACAGCUGACUUGCAUGUCCAUUUUCACAGCCCCAGAGAUACACGUUAUAAUGCUGUCGUCAUAUUUAUGGGUUUGGCAUGAUUUUGGUUGGUGCUAGUUUAAUUGCAGUUUGAUGGGUUGUUUGUGUCAUCCAUGAUGUACCAAAAUUCUGUCAUAAGCAUUUCCUCAAAUACAUGAGACUGGACCCUCAAGGAAGGUUGUGUAGCAGAUAUUUCACCACAUGUACAGUAGACCUCUUACAAUUUGAGAGUAGCAUUCCUAGGUGCAGUGCCUGCCACAGUAAGCUUCACGUUUCAGUUUCAAGUUAUGAGUUUAUCAUCUGACUCAUAUUCAGCCCUUGCUGAAUUUUUGGCUCUUAAAUAUCUCCGAACACAAAUGCCAUUUUAAUAAUGAUUAAGAUCUUCAACUCUUUAAAUAAUGUCUCCUCAGUUCAGAUUAUACUAGCUGCUUGGUCAGUGAGGGAGUGCUUGUGUGUACAUUUUUUAAAAUUUGCAUAUUGAGUAGCAGUUGGUGGUAUGACCCAAAGCAAUCAGGACCAGUCUUCAUUGCACAAUUGCGAACACCUCCUGUUAAGGUUCUCAGACUCAGUGUGGGAUGUGUCCUUAAGUUGGUAGAUUACUAAAGUAGGUUAGAUGACCUAGAUCAGAGUAGCACAGAAUUUUAACACUAGGUAAACAGUAGGUUAUUAGAGUAUUAACAAUGUUGAGAUCAAGUAUUCAAAUAUUGUCAUGUAAAUAAAUACCUCAAUGAUUGGAAAUCAGAGUAAGACUUAAAAAUAGUUGUAAUAAAAUUGAAGCCAUAGCAUAUAUAGAGUUAGGAGCAAUACAAGAGUUAUGCAUGAUUGUAGGGCCAGGUCUGGUUUAAAUUAAUCUUUGCGGAAUGGAAACCGUUAGCGUAUAAAUUGUGUUCAGUGUUGAAAAGAAUAUGUAAGGUAUCAUUAGUAAUGGUGGUGGAGAGAGGCUUAGCAAUCCCAGCUAUGAGAUGUAUUGAUUCAACAGAAUACAUGUGGCAAGGAACUGAAACCACAUCAUUUAGUAAGCUUGCUGUUGGGUUUUCUUGUAGUUGGGAACAGAACAAUUUUCAGAAAUACCACUGAAGAAAAUGUAAAGUAAUGUAAUGUUGAGUAUGCAAGGGGCAUUCCAGCAUGUGUCCAUCGCAUGUUUACAUCAUAAUGACAUUAAAACAGUAUCAUUGUCAGAUGCACAUUAAGAAUAUGCAUUGUAUCGCAACCAAAAGCAAUAGAACCUGUGUAGUGGUUUUGUUAGUACAAUUACUAGUAUUUUAUGGAUGAACACACUAAACUGUAUGUCCACCAUUACCAUGGCAACAGAGCUCUCUUUCUGUGACCAUGAUGGCCAAAGGGAGUAGCCCUGUGUCAGCAUGAGGACCUCCCUGAAACGCUGCUGGUAGAUGAAUGGUGACAACGAUGACUCAUAAAACACUGCUCUCAUCUGUACUGUACAGUGAGAGAUACUUAUCAUUAAUUGUAACCACAUAACAUUGCAAAGCCAACCCCUCUAUGAUAAAUUAUGGACAUUAUGUUGUGAAAAUAACUAUGAAUUAAUAUAGUCUCAGUCUAUAGGAAUGCAGUGGAAAUAGUGUUUGCAUGAUGGAGAAACUUAAGAAAUGUGUAGUGCUGCAUGCAAUAAUGACUUUUUUUGUUUGAAUAUGACUUACAAAUAAUCAUUGCUUGGAAAAUGGAUUGGUGACUACAGCAUUGUUGUGAAAAGAAUUUUGUGUCGAUCAGAAAAUCUCCCAUAAUUCUUCUGGUAUCCUGUUACUUGUGUUAAUUUGUGAAAGAUGCAAAGUCUCUUAGGAACUGUUUAUGAAAUUACAGAAAAGUCAAUGUAACUGCAAUUACUCAAUGAUUGUUUGCAUCACCGUAAGCACACGAUUGCUUCAAACUGGACAUAAAUAAGUUGAUAUUGCUGAAAAUUGAAAAAGGUGUGAACGUGUCACUUUUGCAAUAUUUAUCUUGGUCCUUUUUUAUCAUUUACUGGCACAUUUAAUACAGUGACCCAAAUAUAUGAAUUUGGAUAAUAGCCUAUUUAAUCUGUUGUAGCUCACUGUAAUGUCAUUUUGCAAAGUUAUUACCAGAUGCAAGUUUAUGUUACAGAAAGGCACAACUACAACACUUGGAAAUUGGUGAAAUUCUGUUGUCAAACUCCAAAUGAUACGACUGUAGGUUUUGUCUGAACUAUGCACUCAAGAGAGGCACCAAGCAUGCUAAAAUGAGCCUCUUAACCAUUUUGUUGAAAGUGAAGAAAAUGGAUCACAUAUGUAGCAAUAAAAAGCAGCAUGGUGCCAAUCAUA
This is a long non-coding RNA of Clupea harengus (Atlantic herring), 4223 nucleotides long. RefSeq lists it as uncharacterized. Lineage: Eukaryota; Metazoa; Chordata; Actinopteri; Clupeiformes; Clupeidae. The record is from RefSeq and is a predicted model, not a curated record.